UGGUACAUACUGCAAUAUGAUGGCACAUCCCACUGUGACACCAGUGGUGCAAGUGUCUUUUUUAAUCAAGCAAAUACCUAGAGCUAACCUAUUCAUAUAGUUGAAACAUAGGGGAUCUGGACACAUUUGGACAGGAUGCUAAUCUUAGCCCACUUGUCAUUGCUGCUUCUUUUGGGAAGCCAAGAUUCAGUAACCUGUACCGACCUGCAGAAACAGCAUGAAGUCAUCCAUGCAGCAGUUGGAGAACCUUUAGUGUUGAACUGCACCUACAACUGCUCCUCUGGAUUUGUCCGUGGACACUGGCUCAAACUCCCAGACUGUCUUCGUUGUCCUAGGCCAAGGGAAACAAAAAAUGUCACAAAGAAUGGUGACCUCUGCACUCUACCAUUGUAUUUUCCACAUCUGUCCAGGGAAGAUUUUCAGUACAACUAUACCUGCUUUUCUGAAGAUCAUGAAAGCGAACAGUUCCCACGCAAGAUAGAGUGUCUGGUAUCACUGCAAGCACAAGAUGAAUCGGUGACAGCGUUGGGUAACCAUGAGGACUCCAUAAUAGAUCAUGGAAAACCUGCUGUUAUCUGCACAGGCACAACAUCAAGAGAAGGAUCAGGUGCAUGCUCAACCAAUUGUGAGAGGGUGGCACUGCGAAUAACUCCGGCUGAUUGCCAGAGUGAUCAUGAGGUUCCUUAUGCUGACAUCAUGAUUACUAUGCGAGGGGCCAGCACACCUGAGCUCACACAGAUCUCCUACCUGGCUCCGGGGGACCAUAGAGAGAGGUGGAGGGAAGAGGCAGGCCCUGGCCCCAGCACCGGCCCUGAAGCUAGAUCCCACCUGCAGGCCUCCCGCUCAGCUGACAGACUGCAUGUCCAGCCCCGAGAAGUCUCAAGGAAGAUGAGCACAAACUCUGAGUAUGCUGUUAUCACCUACUCUUAACCAGUGGGGAUGGAGAAAGGAUAAAAGAGUGAACAAGAGAGAGCAAGUGAGACAUGACUGUCACUGUACUCAUGUUAAUAUUCCCUGGCUUUGUUAGCAUUUUUUUUUACUGUAGCAAGUUGUAUCUAUAACCGUAUAAAAAGUGAAAUGAACUGUCAUCCAAUAAAGUCAUACUUUUGUGUCA
This 1114-nucleotide long non-coding RNA is filed under the name Salmo salar (Atlantic salmon). Its description in RNAcentral is "lncRNA (ENSSSAG00000088428.1, ENSSSAG00020017098.1, ENSSSAG00075062101.1)". Lineage: Eukaryota; Metazoa; Chordata; Actinopteri; Salmoniformes; Salmonidae. The record is from RNAcentral.